UUCGUGGAAGCAUUACCGUAAGGGGAUGUGGAGGACAUGGAAGUGAGAAUGCCGGUGUGAGUAGCGAGAUGCAGGUGAGAAUCCUGCACACCGAAAGCCCAAGGAUUCCGGGGGAAGGUUCGUCCGCCCCGGGUCAGUCGGGACCUAAUGCGCAGCCGACAGGCGAAGCAGAUGGAAAGCAGGCGAAGAUUCCUGCACCUGA
RNAcentral lists this ribosomal RNA (202 nucleotides) under Gephyrocapsa oceanica. RNAcentral's name for it is "partial Bacterial large subunit ribosomal RNA". It matches the Rfam family "Bacterial large subunit ribosomal RNA", at positions 1246 to 1448 of the family's 2925-position model. The record is from RNAcentral. Lineage: Eukaryota; Haptophyta; Isochrysidales; Noelaerhabdaceae.